UAAAUAAAAAACUACUCCACGGCAAAGACACCACUUUUCCUACCCCUCUUGCUUCCGGCUCUAGUCCCGACGAAGCAGGCCAACUCAGAUAAUCUUCCCACUGCUUCAGACAGCGACCUUACAGCAAUUACAAUGGUAAACAAUUUCAAUAAGACACAAACAACAUUAAAAAUAGGUGUUUGUAUUACUCACAAAUAUGAUUUCCCCAAUACACAGAUCAACACAAGGGGGAUUUAGAUGGUGAUUGUUUGAUGGAUGAGAUCCUGAGCUAUAUAAGCGGAUGGCGUGCACCUGAGGUGCAGAAAGAGCAAAUCCUCCAUGACUGCAAGGCAUGUGAGAGGCUGCUGGUCCACAUGGGUUCUGAGCAUAACUAUGCUAAAGGAUCUUCUGAUGCAACAUCCUUUAUCAACAGGAAGUGCUACACUGAGAACACUAGACUGGUGGAGCCAUCUCAUCUGCUGAGGGUGAUGGUAACAAAAAUGGAGGACAUAAUUGACAAAAACUUUGCCCGUUUUUGCCUAGAGACUUCUAUUGUGUCAGGACUAAGAGUCCUCUUACUUAGAUCUAGUCUAGUGCCUUUGAUUGCAUCCUGGAAGGCCGUGUCGAUGCAUGCCUACCCCCUCCAUAGGAAAAAAUAUAAAGAAAUACACCAUGUGUAGAAUGUGAGCACAGCUUAGAAAAAUAAAUUGUGAAGUUAACGAACCAAAAACCACAGCACAGCGUAAACUGAAUCAUUUCACUGAAUAAUACGUUUUUGGGGGUGUUUUAUAAUAUCAGACAUCAGUAACUGUAUGGCGCCGUGUGCUGUAUGGGAAGUGGACAGAGUGUAUAUACAGUGUGGAGCCUAAAGUGUAUGAAGCCAACAAGAAGUCAGAGAAGGGGGAUACUAAGAAAAAUAAACAGGCGAGCACACAGACCUGUGAUUUGUCCAACUGUUUUUAAACAAUGGCAAAAAAAAAUCUUAAACAGUGUUUCUUCCUUUUACAUAAACAUGCAGUGGUUUUAGGUGAAGGUAAGGUAUAAGUGUAUUUGUAAGUACUGUUGGCUUAGUGUGCUACAGCAGUCCUAGUUAUUAUGGCUAUAUAGGUUGCUUUAAAGUUUGUGUGAAUGCAACUGUCUGUAGAUUGUAGUAGGCUAAUGUGUAUAGUAUUGUAUGUAGGAGCAAGUGCUGGAGAAAAGGAGACUGAGGAUAUGCCUGAGGUUUAAGAGACCGUCUCUGUGAUACCAGGAAGUGUCUAACUGUGGAGAAUAAAUCCAUGACCUGCACAUUCAGAAGAGGAAACACACACACACACAUUAGGGAUAUGAUUUAUAUCUGUGUUUCUAAUUAACCCUGACUCUGAUCCUUGCUAACGCUCUCUGUGGUAUAGAUGUAUCAUUUCACCAUGACUCUGAAUGAACUGGAGCCUGGUAUGGUGAGGCUAUUGGCAGCGUAAGAAUGCCAUCUAAGACCUGACAUCAGAGCCAUGGAGAAUGGAGACCUGGAUGCAGCAAGUGUAGAAAAGGACAGACUAGAGGAAAAACAGAGAGCUGCAUGCAAAUAACCUUCUAAGGAUGGAGAAGAGUGGUCAACCAGGUGGUUUCGGGUUGGGAACAAACCCCCAGGAAUGACUGUACACGGGGGAUACUUUGAUAGGAAUUACACUGUCCCAACAUUUACUGAUUGGUUAGGAGGGACUAGAAGGGUUUCCAUUACUACCCAUAGUGGAUGUAGGCCUGAUUAUCCUGUUCAUUCUCAGUAUUACAAUGUGAGGCAGCUGAGGACACAAUUAUGACAGUUUUCCAAACUUAGCCAAACCUCUCCCCCAACAGAAUCUCUGAAAUCAAGAAAUUAUGUAUGUGACUAAAAUGAUUUAUUUUCAUUUUGCAAGUGAAAAAUGGAACAUUUGAGCAAUCUGAAUGUGAAAGACAGAAAAUUGAGGAUAAGACAGUUAGUUACAUGAGGGAAGCAGAAUGUUCUGAUUUCUAUGUUAGUUUUCACAGGUGUCAGUCAUCCUAAAUGGACUGGCUAAUUUAACUGAAAGAAUCCCACUCAUCUCUGAUCGUGUUAUUUAUUGUACCCAUGGUUUUAUAAAACUAGGGAUUAGUAAGAACAGUGGUUAAAAACAAAUGGCAAGAGUUGUGGAACAGGGAGGGAAAGGGAAGACACCUGUAUAAGAUCCAGGAAGAGGUGGAGGCAGGGAGGUCCCCUGGUCAAGAGAAGGGAGGAAAGUUUAAUCACAAGGCUGAGACUGGGACACACAGGGUGUUACGGAUACAAGUAUCCUGUGUGUGUAUCCUCUGUGUGUGUUUUCUUUUCU
Oncorhynchus mykiss (rainbow trout) is the source of this 2300-nucleotide non-coding RNA. NCBI's taxonomy places the organism in Eukaryota, Metazoa, Chordata, Actinopteri, Salmoniformes, Salmonidae. The record is from RefSeq and is a predicted model, not a curated record.